RNAcentral lists this non-coding RNA (88 nucleotides) under Paenibacillus senegalensis. Its description in RNAcentral is "Cyclic di-GMP-I riboswitch". It matches the Rfam family "c-di-GMP-I riboswitch aptamer". From Rfam's summary of the family: GEMM was predicted in a large-scale screen for bacterial structured RNA regulatory elements. Genes associated with GEMM are involved in a diverse array of functions, including chemotaxis regulation, signal transduction, secretion and chitin. Lineage: Bacteria; Bacillati; Bacillota; Bacilli; Caryophanales; Paenibacillaceae. The record is from RNAcentral.
ACGAUAAUGGCAAACCUGUCUAAAGACAGGGACGCAAAGCUAUAGGGCCUUCCUGCUUGCUUUCAAGCAGAUGGCAGCCAGUUACCGA